This 184-nucleotide ribosomal RNA is filed under the name uncultured bacterium. RNAcentral describes it as "partial 16S ribosomal RNA". It matches the Rfam family "Bacterial small subunit ribosomal RNA", at positions 355 to 509 of the family's 1533-position model. The record is from RNAcentral.
UAGGGAAUCUUCGGCAAUGGACGAAAGUCUGACCGAGCAACGCCGCGUGAGUGAAGAAGGUUUUCGGAUCGUAAAACUCUGUUGGUAGAGAAGAACGUUGGUGAGAGUGGAAAGCUCAUCAAGUGACGGUAACUACCCAGAAAGGGACGGUAACUACCCAGAAAGGGACGGCUAACUACGUGCC